CGUGAGGAAGCUGUCACCGCCGCUAAGGCUGGCUGCCCUCUCUGGGAGUUGCACUUCCUUCCUCCGGUCCCUAAUCUGAGGACUGCUGGAUUGCAGACUUGGCAAGUCCAGUGUGUACCUACUGUUACCCCACUGGAGUCCUGAUGUGGCGGGAGGCCUGGUGGAAGGGACAGGGGGUAUUUUCCCUUUUAAUUUAUUCAAUGUUUUGUCUUAAAAACAGAGGGAGGGUAGGCAGCGAUCUUACCUGUUAUUAACUUUCCACCCCCGCUGCCAUCCCCUUAGCUAGAAGAGCCACUGGUUUUUAUUUUUGUUUUUAUCUUAAUGACCUUUCCUACUUCCCCUCCCCUACACUGUUUGAAACCCCGCUGUGGGGUUUGACUGACCCGACCUAGGGUGCUGCCCUCACGUGGACGCCGGCCCUGGGCGUGUCGCGUGUGCGCGGGGACGGCUGUGCGCGCGUCUCUGGACGAGACCAAUUUCUCCAUCGCGCAGCCAUCCCCGCGGACGACGUUUGAAAGGCGGACUGAGGGUGGAGGAGGUCGCGGGGAAAGCGGACCGAAGGGAAAGAAAAAUCAGAAAGACCAUUAGGAUCUGUCCGGGUGCCUGAACUCUUCCUCCUUCCCUAAAGGACCCUACCAAGCCGGUGGCGGCGAGGACGCAAACACCAUUGAGGGGGCUUCCGUGGGUCCGCGGUCUCGCGCUCCGCCGUGCAGAACGAACUGUUAGUGGGCGCUACUGAUCGCGCCGCGCUCGCGGCCUCGCCCCAUUCACACGGCCCCGCGUAAUGAAUUCGUCCAUUUAAAUACAUUACAGGAAUAUUGGAGAUUGCGGAGGACGUGACACUUGACCCUGCAACCCGAACCCCGCAGGGGCAGCCGCCGCCUUGCAAAGUAGCAGUCCCCGAGCAGCGCCGCGCGGCGGUGGCCGGCCAAGCCCUCCGGGAGCUCUCCGGGUCCCCUUCCUCGCCCCCACCCCCGCCUUGCUCGCAGCUUGCCUCUGUCGACCCCUUCCCGCAGCCGCGUUUCAAUCAAACUCACUGAGACGGCACCGAGCGGGCGCCGGGGACAAGAAACGCCUCGCCAGCGACAACGCGCGAACAAGCGGAGCCGCGGGCCCCGGCGCCUCCGCCCACACGCGCCCCGCGUGCUGAAACCCGCACCUGGCCCACGGGUAGCCGGAAAAGCCGGGUCCCGGCCCGCCCGCCGGGCCGCCCCUGCUCCCGCUCCCCCAGCUCCAAGCGCUGCGGCUCAGAAACCCACCCGCCCGGCCCAGCCCCCGCCGGAGCCCUGCACCUUGGGGAGCCGGAGGCUGGGGAGGGGACCAGAGAAGGGGAAGAAGGGGCAUCGCCCUUCUUCCUACCCUGGGACAGCGCCUGGACUGGAGCUGGGUGCCGAGGAAACGACGGGAAGAGCUGACAGAGAGGCGGAGGGAGAAAAGAAAGGAAAAGAGGCAGAGACGAGGAAGGGAAGAAAGGGAUCCGAAGUGACCCGCCCUCGGGCCUCCGCGCCGGUGAUGCCCCGCGCCCAGGGCGAGGCCGUGCUUCGCGGGCAUGAGAAGCCAGGAGGCAGCGGAGUGCGGGUCUGGGGCACCGGGGACAUUGCCAAACAUAAUUGGGGUGCCAAACUGGGCUUCUUAAUCUCGAAGCCAGGAUGGGCGGGUGUGGCCGGGGGUGCGCGGGGUCAGCCAGCUUGGGGUGCUUUCCUUCGGGGCUCACACCGGCAGCGCGGACCGGCCGAGGCCGCUGGGACUGCAAGUCCGCCGCCUGCUUUUGUUCUGGGUUCUGCUGUAAUUUAACAUAAAACGCCUGUUAGAAUCACUGCUGCCGAAACACGCGUUUCUCCUUGUUUUGCCACCAACUAACAGGAUUAGGCAACAAGAGCGAGAUUUCAAAUUAACCAUAAAAAUGACAAAUUGCAAUUCAUUUAGCUGCCCACUUACUACAUUAAAAAACAUAAAUAAAUGAAUCUGCGUAUUCAGAGGGUUGAACGGCCCGCAAGGAAGCGAAAGCGGUUGAACUCAGGCCUCCGGGUGGGAGUCAGGGCUGUGGCGCUGGCGAGAGCGGGCCGCCGCGGAAUUCGCACCGUCUUCCAAGGGCCCGGAAAGAGGCAGCUUGGGUCAUUCGAGGAACCGAGGAGGAGGGAGGAAGCUGCGAGGCCCGAGCAUUUUUAGCACCUGAAUUCUCCCUGCGGAGGGACUGUGUGGGGGAAGAAGGGUGGGGCGCGGAGGCAGGUCUAGAGGGGAGAGCGCUGGUUCCAGUUCGAGCUUGUCGGAAGGAAAGGCGAGAAAACUCAGCAAACGUGCUUUGCAAAAUUCUGGGGAGGGGGUGAUUCUCGUGUGGUGCCCCGUGUGUGAAGAAUGAGACGCUGGCGAAUUUUGC
This 2377-nucleotide long non-coding RNA is filed under the name Homo sapiens (human). Its description in RNAcentral is "HSALNT0344371". Lineage: Eukaryota; Metazoa; Chordata; Mammalia; Primates; Hominidae. The record is from RNAcentral.